Molecule: ribosomal RNA, 875 nt
Filed under: uncultured marine group I thaumarchaeote
Lineage: Archaea; Thermoproteati; Nitrososphaerota
Description: bacterial SSU rRNA
Rfam family: Archaeal small subunit ribosomal RNA
Source: RNAcentral
CCUGACUGCUAUCGGAUUGAUACUAAGCCAUGCGAGUCAUUGUAGCAAUACAAGGCAUACGGCUCAGUAACGCGUAGUCAACCUAACCUAUGGACGGGAAUAACCUCGGGAAACUGAGAAUAAUGCCCGAUAGAACACUAUACCUGGAAUGGUUUGUGUUCCAAAUGAUUUAUCGCCAUAGGAUGGGACUGCGGCCUAUCAGUUUGUUGGUGAGGUAAUGGCCCACCAAGACUAUUACAGGUACGGGCUCUGAGAGGAGUAGCCCGGAGAUGGGUACUGAGACACGGACCCAGGCCCUAUGGGGCGCAGCAGGCGAGAAAACUUUGCAAUGUGCGAAAGCACGACAAGGUUAAUCCGAGUGAUUUGUGCUAAACGAAUCUUUUGUUAGUCCUAGAAACACUAACGAAUAAGGGGUGGGCAAGUUCUGGUGUCAGCCGCCGCGGUAAAACCAGCACCUCAAGUGGUCAGGAUGAUUAUUGGGCCUAAAGCAUCCGUAGCCGGCUCUGUAAGUUUUCGGUUAAAUCUGUACGCUUAACGUACAGGCUGCCGGGAAUACUGCAGAGCUAGGGAGCGGGAGAGGUAGACGGUACUCGGUAGGAAGUGGUAAAAUGCUUUGAUCUAUCGAUGACCGCCUGUGGCGAAGGCGGUCUACCAGAACACGUCCGACGGUGAGGGAUGAAAGCUGGGGGAGCAAACCGGAUUAGAUACCCGGGUAGUCCCAGCUGUAAACUAUGCAAACUCAGUGAUGCAUUGGCUUGUGGCCAAUGCAGUGCUGCAGGGAAGCCGUUAAGUUUGCCGCCUGGGAAGUACGUACGCAAGUAUGAAACUUAAAGGAAUUGGCGGGGGAGCACCACAAGGGGUGAAGCCUGCGGUUC